This 497-nucleotide ribosomal RNA is filed under the name uncultured bacterium. RNAcentral describes it as "partial 16S ribosomal RNA". It matches the Rfam family "Bacterial small subunit ribosomal RNA", at positions 28 to 507 of the family's 1533-position model. The record is from RNAcentral.
GAUGAACGCUGGCGGCGUGCCUAAUACAUGCAAGUCGAGCGAACGGACGAGAAGCUUGCUUCUCUGAUGUUAGCGGCGGACGGGUGAGUAACACGUGGAUAACCUACCUAUAAGACUGGGAUAACUUCGGGAAACCGGAGCUAAUACCGGAUAAUAUUUUGAACCGCAUGGUUCAAAAGUGAAAGACGGUCUUGCUGUCACUUAUAGAUGGAUCCGCGCUGCAUUAGCUAGUUGGCAAGGUAACGGCUUACCAAGGCAACGAUGCAUAGCCGACCUGAGAGGGUGAUCGGCCACACUGGAACUGAGACACGGUCCAGACUCCUACGGGAGGCAGCAGUAGAGAAUCUUCCACGAUGGGCGAAAGCCUGACGGAGCAACGCCGCGUGAGUGAUGAAGGUCUUCGGAUCGUAAAACUCUGUUAUUAGGGAAGAACAUAUGUGUAAGUAACUGUGCACAUCUUGACGGUACCUAAUCAGAAAGCCACGGCUAACUACGUG